GCGCGCGCGGGUCUGGCGCUUCCUGUUCGGCAUGUUCCCCAGCAGCUCCACGGCCCUGGAGCGCCCCCUGCUGGCCGAGCAGCUGGCGGUGCGCUACGGCGCCAUGAAGAGGAAGUGGCGGCAGCUGCUGCCCUCCGCCGCCCGCAUCCGGCUGAACGGCACCGACGACGAGCUGAUCGCCGCCGUGCGGUUCUACGAGCGGCGCAGGGAGCAGGCCGAAGGGUCGCCGCCCCAGCAGGGCGAGGAGGCCGCGCAGAGGAUCUCCUUCCUGGAGCUGCAGGCUCAGGUGCUGAUGGACCGGGUCAGUCUGGACCUGGAGGACCUGCAGGAGGCUGUGCGGAUCAUCGACAAGGACGUCCCGCGGACCGAGAGGGACCUGGACUACUUCCUGGGCGAGGGCUCCGCCAACCUGCUGGUGCUGAGGGAUAUUCUCAUCACCUUCGCCGCUUUCCAUCCAGGUAAGUUCCCUGCCCCCUCGGCCGCGCCUGUGUCCGAGACCUGUCAGCCGUGCUCCUGCACUGGCGCCCCCUAGUGGCGGCACGAGCACGUGUUUCAGGGUCGGCGGAGUGUGUUCAGGGCAUGUGGCCACAAUGAGUGACCAUUAAUCAGCUCUUGCUCUUUCACAACUCUGAGAGGAAACCAGCACAGAGAAAGCAUAUAUUGCACAUGUGAUGUAAGGCUGAAUAAUGGUUGUUCAUAUGUGAAAUGGUUUUGUUUUGUUCUCUAAAAUAAAAAAUAAAAGUAUAUUGGGGCUGCCGUUGGGCAGGCAC
This 770-nucleotide long non-coding RNA is filed under the name Lepisosteus oculatus (spotted gar). RNAcentral's name for it is "lncRNA (ENSLOCG00000023141.1)". Lineage: Eukaryota; Metazoa; Chordata; Actinopteri; Semionotiformes; Lepisosteidae. The record is from RNAcentral.